Toxorhynchites rutilus septentrionalis is the source of this 648-nucleotide long non-coding RNA. RefSeq lists it as uncharacterized. The record is from RefSeq and is a predicted model, not a curated record. Lineage: Eukaryota; Metazoa; Arthropoda; Insecta; Diptera; Culicidae. The transcript is spliced from 2 exons.
GAUCAACUCUACACAGUACUACAGUAGAUCAUCAUACGACCUGUGGUAAAAGGCAAAGUCAGCAAUAGAGAAUCAAUGUGAAUUGUCUUUCUUUUUUCAAGGACCGCCAAGAACGCAUGCCAUAGCAGCAGAUUUUUUGUUUGUUUGUGAAAUAAUUGUAUAUACUUAGUACCAAUUUCAAAUAAAAUUCAACUACAGCUCGUACCGCACCUAGGACAGAACAAACAAAAGAACAAAACUCUGAAGGUUCGAGACACACUUACGAAUAAUGCAAAAGUGUAUCAAAAAACAUAAUAAAACCCAUAUUGAAAAGCCUAAACGAAGGUGCAAAAGUACCAAAAAGACCUCGCAGAAAUUCGAGAUGUUAGAAAGGUUGGAUAUGAUGCAUGAAAGCGACCUUGAUGAAUGGCCGAAUGAAGUCAGCGAACAAGUGUCCCGCAGGGAAACCAUGAAUGUGAAUAUAUUCUCAGGAACUGGUACAUGGACAAGCAUUACAAAAUAAAAAAGCAUCAUCUACAAAUUGUUCCAAAUUAUUUGGUAUUGAUUACCAUAGCAGCAUCCUCAGACAGCAAUGCUUUGUAGGACUGUCGAUGUGACUUCAAGUUAAAUAAACGGUCAAACAAUGAGGCAUAGUUUGGAAAAAAUGUA